UACGAAGGGGGCGAGCGUUGUUCGGAAUUAUUGGGCGUAAAGAGCUCGUAGGCGGUUUGUCGCGUCUGCUGUGAAAACCCGAGGCUCAACCUCGGGCCUGCAGUGGGUACGGGCAGACUAGAGUGCGGUAGGGGAGAAUGGAAUUCCUGGUGUAGCGGUGGAAUGCGCAGAUAUCAGGAGGAACACCGAUGGCGAAGGCAGUUCUCUGGGCCGUAACUGACGCUGAGGAGCGAAAGCGUGGGGAGCGAACAGG
RNAcentral lists this ribosomal RNA (253 nucleotides) under uncultured bacterium. RNAcentral's name for it is "partial 16S ribosomal RNA". It matches the Rfam family "Bacterial small subunit ribosomal RNA", at positions 524 to 776 of the family's 1533-position model. The record is from RNAcentral.